This 423-nucleotide ribosomal RNA is filed under the name uncultured Glomeromycotina. RNAcentral describes it as "SSU rRNA". It matches the Rfam family "Eukaryotic small subunit ribosomal RNA", at positions 671 to 1092 of the family's 1831-position model. Lineage: Eukaryota; Fungi; Glomeromycota. The record is from RNAcentral.
CGGUACGUACUGGUAUUGUUGGUUUCUCCCUUCUGACGAACCAUGAUGCCAUUUAUUUGGUGUUGUGGGGAAUCAGGACUGUUACUUUGAAAAAAUUAGAGUGUUUAAAGCAGGCUCACGCUUGAAUACAUUAGCAUGGAAUAAUGAAAUAGGACGUUUGAUUCUAUUUUGUUGGUUUCUAGGAUCGACGUAAUGAUUAAUAGGGAUAGUUGGGGGCAUUAGUAUUCAAUUGUCAGAGGUGAAAUUCUUGGAUUUAUUGAAGACUAACUACUGCGAAAGCAUUUGCCAAGGAUGUUUUCAUUAAUCAAGAACGAAAGUUAGGGGAUCGAAGACGAUCAGAUACCGUCGUAGUCUUAACCAUAAACUAUGCCGACUAGGGAUCGGAUGAUGUUAAUUUUUUAAUGACUCAUUCGGCGCCUUACG